GACGAACGCUGGCGGCGUGCUUAACACAUGCAAGUCGAACGGUGAUCUUGAGAGCUUGCUCUUGGGUGAUCAGUGGCGAACGGGUGAGUAACACGUGAGUAACCUGCCCCUGACUCUGGAAUAACUUCGGGAAACCGAAGCUAAUACCGGAUAUGACACAGAGCCGCAUGGUUUCUGUGUGGAAGGUUUUUCGGUUGGGGAUGGACUCGCGGCCUAUCAGCUUGUUGGUGAGGUAAUGGCUCACCAAGGCGACGACGGGUAGCCGGCCUGAGAGGGCGACCGGCCACACUGGGACUGAGACACGGCCCAGACUCCUACGGGAGGCAGCAGUGGGGAAUAUUGCACAAUGGGCGAAAGCCUGAUGCAGCGACGCCGCGUGAGGGAUGACGGCCUCGGUUGUAACGUACUUCUACCACGGAGAAGACGCGACGUAGACGGUACCGUCGCGACGAAGAAGACGACCGGCCGUAACCUAACCGUUACGCCGACGCGACGCCGCCGGUAAAACCGGUAACCGUAACC
This 522-nucleotide ribosomal RNA is filed under the name uncultured bacterium. Its description in RNAcentral is "bacterial SSU rRNA". It matches the Rfam family "Bacterial small subunit ribosomal RNA", at positions 28 to 516 of the family's 1533-position model. The record is from RNAcentral.